UUAUGCAUGAGCCGGUGCCUGCUGCUGCUGUCUCACCUCCCCCGUAUCUACGAUGAGAAGACGGCAGCAGUAUGGCUGAGAUUAUACGGCUGUAACUUGAUCUGGAUAAUACCAGCGAAAGGAUCAUGACUGCUACUCCC
Molecule: non-coding RNA, 140 nt
Filed under: Ophiostoma piceae
Lineage: Eukaryota; Fungi; Ascomycota; Sordariomycetes; Ophiostomatales; Ophiostomataceae
Also listed under: 1 other name
Description: TPP sequence
Rfam family: TPP riboswitch aptamer (THI element)
About the family: Vitamin B(1) in its active form thiamin pyrophosphate (TPP) is an essential coenzyme that is synthesised by coupling of pyrimidine and thiazole moieties in bacteria.
Source: RNAcentral